This 117-nucleotide ribosomal RNA is filed under the name Olavius algarvensis spirochete endosymbiont. Lineage: Bacteria; Pseudomonadati; Spirochaetota; Spirochaetia; Spirochaetales. The record is from RNAcentral.
AGCCUGGUUAUUAUAGCGGCGGGGCCACACCCGUUCCCAUACCGAACACGGCAGUUAAGCCCGCCAGCGCCGAUGGUACUGCACUCUGUGUGGAAGAGUAGGUCGUUGCCAGGUUCC